Molecule: RNA transcript, 2066 nt
Organism: Talpa occidentalis (Iberian mole)
Lineage: Eukaryota; Metazoa; Chordata; Mammalia; Eulipotyphla; Talpidae
Gene name: coiled-coil domain-containing protein 7-like
Exons: 18
Source: RefSeq, a predicted model, not a curated record
GGCAACGUCUUAGCGUCAACAGCAGGGCCCGCCGGGAGGCCCAAAGGUCAUCGCUGCCCACCGUGGGGCGCCAAGCCCCCCCCCCCCACCGGCUUUCAUUCCGCUCCAAUGUUAAUAUUUGAAACAGCCGAGCUGCUGUCUAGAGGGUUUGCAGGCUUCUGUCUUGAAGGAAGUCCGGGGGGUCAAAAUUUCCAACUUCCUUACAUUAGGGCCAGCCUCGCCGAGGCCAAAGCAGCCAGUAGCUGACGUCCAGCAGCCGCAGCAGGGAAGAAUAAAAAUUUCAUCUAUAAUUUGGAAACUAAAUAAACAACAAAAUGAAGCCAGUAAAACAUCUGUUGACCUCUAGUAAUAAGUUGGCAAAAGUACCAGAAGUAACUCGUAAAAAAAGACUGCUUAAUUCACCAUUAUCACUUGCACCAAAGGAAAAACAGACUGCAAAAUCAGUACGUGAUAACUUUGAACAAAUGGUCUUAAGAUCUCCACCAACAGGAGACUCCCUCAUAAGGUAUGCUUUGCCUGUUCCAUCAAGUAGGACAAAGGAGUUAAUAGCAGAAGAUGAAUUGAUCAGUACAGUUACCAACCGUCUGAAAAUGGUUGUUUCUAAUUUGGAAGAAGCCUAUGGACAUGACAUCCAAAAUGAAGAGAAGCCAGCUGAGAAUGAAGAACUCAGUUUAUCUGUUGGGAAGAAUCUGCGUGCAUUCUUGGAAUGUUGUUCACAAUUUCUAACUCAGUUAGAAACAGCAACUAAGGAAAAACAAAAUAUUUUGGAAUCUCUUUUUAAGUGGUUUCAACAUCAGGUCAAUCAGAUGGAAGAGAUAAGUAAAGAUCAAAGCUUUUUAGAAACAGCAUUACCAGCAUCUGAUGAUACAAUCACUUUAAACAUUUUUCAAAUGGUAAAGCAAGUGCAAAAACUUGAAGAACUGAAAAAUCACAUUAAACAAGGGUCUGGGAGCUCCUGGAAAUCCUUGUUUUAUAAAACCAACACGGAUAGUGAAAAGCCACCAGAAAUGACACAAAGUUAUGAAAAUGUACUGCAAAGUGUUGAAGAAUUCAUAAAGACCCAUGCAAGUAAAGUAAACAUAGAUAUUCCUGAAACCAAACCACGAACUGUUCGUUCAGUGACUAGUCAGUUUAAUACCAUGUUGGAAAUAUUUGAAAAACAGUCACAUACAUUGGAGAGAGCUGUAAAUGAGCAAGAUUUGUUACAAACUAAAUGCAAAAAGAUGGAAAGUGAUUUCCAGAUGUUAUCAGAGGAAAAAGUGCUAUUGGAAAAUGAACUGCAAAAACUGAAGAAUGCAGAGAAAACAAAACCUCCAUCUGCUCGUACAAAGAAAACAAUAAAAACAGAGCGGAAAAAAGACAGAGUAAAACCGGAGGAUUCAAAAGGGAAGAAGCUACUGGCCAAAGAGUCAAAAGCAAAAGAUUUGAGUCAAAUCCAGAAAGUUGCAAAUGAUCUGGAGAGAGAGAAUAUGCUUCUUCAGGAAAAGGUGAAGCAAGCAAUGCAGGAAGCUGAAAGAGCAAGGAAUCAACUUAACUACUUCCUGAAAGAAGGAAAGGAUUUCUUUAGAAGUGAAGGGAGGAACAAAUCAACCGUGGAAUUAGGUAUUAGUAAAGUUAAAUUUAAGGAUGAUGAAUCAAAAUAUGUGACUUUGGAAAAAGGCUCAAGAGAAGCACUGAUUAAAGAUUCAGAUGGACAGAAGACAUAAAUCCAGGAACGCCCAUAGACUGAGAUGGUAUGUGCAUUAGAAAUAGCGAAGCAAAUCUAGGAAAAGUAACAAGAUCCUAAUAAAAUUUCUGAAAUGCUUUGGAAAAUCCCCUAAACCUUCAGACAGUGGAUGAGAAUGAAGUGAGGAGACCCACUGAGCAGACACACAGUAUUGCUUACAAUAAAGUACAUUCUGUGGGUAUGUGCUUUACAACACGAGCUCUGUCUUUCGGCUUAGGGACUGAAUUGGUGGCAAAAUUUAAUCAAAUACAAUAGAUAGUAAUAAUUUAGCAUCUCACAUCGUAUACACUGCUACCUUUUCUUAAAUGUUUUAAAACAGAAAUAAAAAUGUAAAUUAAAU